UACGUAGGGGGCAAGCGUUGUCCGGAAUCAUUGGGCGUAAAGCGCGUGUAGGCGGUUCGAUAAGUCUGCCGUGAAAGUCCAGGGCUCAACCCUGGAAAGCCGGUGGAUACUGUCGGACUAGAGUGCGGAAGAGGCGAGUGGAAUUCCCGGUGUAGCGGUGAAAUGCGCAGAUAUCGGGAGGAACACCAAUUGCGAAGGCAGCUCGCUGGGACGUUACUGACGCUGAGACGCGAAAGCGUGGGGAGCAAACAGG
Molecule: ribosomal RNA, 253 nt
Filed under: uncultured bacterium
Lineage: Bacteria
Description: partial 16S ribosomal RNA
Rfam family: Bacterial small subunit ribosomal RNA
Source: RNAcentral